GACGAACGCUGGCGGCGUGCUUAACACAUGCAAGUCGAACGGAAAGGCCUCAGCUUGCUGGGGUACUCGAGUGGCGAACGGGUGAGUAACACGUGGGUGAUCUGCCUUGCACUCUGGGAUAAGCCUGGGAAACUGGGUCUAAUACCGGAUAUGAACUGCCUUUAGUGUGGUGGUUGGAAAGUUUUUUCGGUGCAAGAUGAGCUCGCGGCCUAUCAGCUUGUUGGUGGGGUAAUGGCCUACCAAGGCGUCGACGGGUAGCCGGCCUGAGAGGGUGUACGGCCACAUUGGGACUGAGAUACGGCCCAGACUCCUACGGGAGGCAGCAGUGGGGAAUAUUGCACAAUGGGCGGUAGCCUGAUGCAGCGACGCCGCGUGGGGGAUGACGGCCUUCGGGUUGUAAACUCCUUUCGACAGGGACGAAGCUUUUUGUGACGGUACCUGUAUAAGAAGCACCGGCUAACUACGUG
RNAcentral lists this ribosomal RNA (467 nucleotides) under uncultured bacterium. RNAcentral describes it as "partial 16S ribosomal RNA". It matches the Rfam family "Bacterial small subunit ribosomal RNA", at positions 28 to 507 of the family's 1533-position model. The record is from RNAcentral.